GCUGGGCGUGGUGAUGCGUGCCUGUAAUCCCAGCUACUCUGGAGGCUGAGGCAGGAGAAUCGUUUGAACCAGGGAGUUGGAGGUUGCAGUGAGCCGAGAUUGCACCACUGCACUCCACCCUGGCGACAGAGUGAGACUCUGUCUCAA
Pongo abelii (Sumatran orangutan) is the source of this 147-nucleotide unclassified non-coding RNA. It matches the Rfam family "Metazoan signal recognition particle RNA". Rfam says of the family: The signal recognition particle (SRP) is a universally conserved ribonucleoprotein. It is involved in the co-translational targeting of proteins to membranes. The eukaryotic SRP consists of a 300-nucleotide 7S RNA and six proteins: SRPs 72, 68, 54, 19, 14, and 9. NCBI's taxonomy places the organism in Eukaryota, Metazoa, Chordata, Mammalia, Primates, Hominidae. The record is from Ensembl.